This 498-nucleotide ribosomal RNA is filed under the name uncultured bacterium. RNAcentral describes it as "partial 16S ribosomal RNA". It matches the Rfam family "Bacterial small subunit ribosomal RNA", at positions 29 to 507 of the family's 1533-position model. The record is from RNAcentral.
AGCGAACGCUGGCGGCGUGCCUAACACAUGCAAGUCGAACGUGAAAAGGGAAACCUGAGUAAAGUGGCGUACGGGUGAGUAACGCGUAGGUAAUCUACCCCAGAAUCUGGAAUAACCUGCCGAAAGGCGGGCUAAUACUGGAUAGAGCGAGGGAACUCGUAAGAGAGUUUUUCGGGAAAGGGAGCCCGCAAGGGCCUUCGUUCUGGGAUGAGCCUGCGUCUCAUUAGCUAGUUGGUAAGGUAACGGCUUACCAAGGCGAUGAUGAGUAGCUGGUCUGAGAGGAUGAUCAGCCACACUGGAACUGAAACACGGUCCAGACGCCUACGGGAGGCAGCAGUGGGGAAUCUUGCGCAAUGGACGAAAGUCUGACGCAGCCACGCCGCGUGAGGGAAGAAGGCCUUCGGGUUGUAAAGCUCUGUCGGAUGGGACGAACAUCUUCAUAGUGAAUAGCUAUGAGGACUGACGGUACCAUCAAAGGAAGCACCGACUAACUCCGUG